AAAGUAGAGGCGAUCGAACCUUAACCGUAGAGUUUUAUUGAUAGUACCGCAAGGGAAAAAUGAAAUAAUAGUGAAAACAAAAGCAAAACAUAGCAAAGACUUCCCCUUGUACCUCUUGCAUCACGAUCUAGCAAGCAUAAAACAAGCAAGAAGAAAACACAGCCUGUUUCCCCGAACUCAAGUGAGCUAUUUUAAAGCAACUAAAGAGUUAACCCGUCCCUGUAGCAAAAGGGUGGGAAGACUUUAAAAUAGAGGUGAAAAGCCAACCGAACUUGCUGAUAGCUGGUUACCAGAUAGACGAAUUUUAGUUCAACUUAAAACUUUAUUAACCCGCCCUUAGUAAAAACUUAGUUUUUAAGAUACUCAAUGAGGGGACAGCCUUAUUGAGCCAGAAUACAGCCUGAACUAGAGAGAAACCUCAACAAAAACAACAGUAGGCCUUAAAACAGCCAUCUAAUAUAAUAACGUCGCAGUCUUCAUAAUCAAAAUACCAACCGCACUUUAAAACUCCUAUACUACCACCUGGUAAUUCAAUAAAUUUAUAGAAGAUACUAUGCUAGAACUAGUAACAAGAAAUUUUCUCUCACGCACAACCAUAAAUCAGACAUAGAAAAACUACUGAAAAUUAACAAAACAAUAAAAACAACUUACAUAGUAUAUUACUAGCUGUUAACCCAACACAGGUGUGCAUAAAAGAAAGAUUAAAAGUUAAAAAAGGAACUCGGCAACAAACAAAUUUCAACUGUUUACCAAAAACAUAGCCUUUAGCAAACCAAGUAUUAAAGGUAACGCCUGCCCAGUGAAACUUAAACGGCCGCGGUAUUCUAACCGUGCAAAGGUAGCGUAAUCACUUGUCUCCUAAAUAGGGACCUGUAUGAACGGCUAAAUGAAUAUUUAACUGUCUCUUUUAACUAAUCAGUGAAACUGAUCUUCCAGUACAAAAGCUGGGAUAAUAAUAUAAGACGAGAAGACCCUGUGGAGCUUUAAAUUUCAACCAACAUAUAAUUAUCACAGUUAUUUAUGCUUAACAUUUUAAGUUGGGGCGACUUCGGAUAAAAACUAAACAUCCGAGCAAAUAAGGCACUGCCUAAAAAAGGCCUACAAGCCAAAGCUAAUAUUGACCCAGUAAUACUGAUUAACGAACCAAGUUACCCCAGGGAUAACAGCGCCAUCUUCUUUAAGAGUUCAUAUCGACAAGAAGGUUUACGACCUCGAUGUUGGAUCAGGACACCCAAAUGGUGCAGCCGCUAUUAAAGGUUCGUUUGUUCAACGAUUAACAGUCCUACGUGAUCUGAGUUCAGACCGGAGCAAUCCAGGUCGGUUUCUAUCUAUACAGUUGCUUUCUUUAGUACGAAAGGACCAAGAAAGCAGGACCAAUAUAACCUACGUCCUUUACAAUAGAUUAAAAAAAACUAAAAUUUAACAAACAACAAAUUUUCCCCUAGACAUAGGGGUUAGUUAGAGUGGCAGAGCCAGGUAAUGUAAAAGACCUAAGACCUUUCAAACAGAAGUUCAAAUCUUCUCUUU
Non-coding RNA from Anolis carolinensis (green anole), 1527 nucleotides. The record is from Rfam. Lineage: Eukaryota; Metazoa; Chordata; Lepidosauria; Squamata; Anolidae.